Molecule: long non-coding RNA, 5291 nt
Filed under: Homo sapiens (human)
Lineage: Eukaryota; Metazoa; Chordata; Mammalia; Primates; Hominidae
Description: HSALNT0376221
Source: RNAcentral
CCUGCAUCAUGUGCAGCAGCUGCAGGGCCUUGGACAUCAUCAUAGGACUGCCCAUCUGUGACAAUUACUAGGAAGUUCUUGUUGGGGCUCUCCCUUAUAGGGCCAAACACAUUUCUAACAGUGAAGGAAAUGGCAUCACCAGUAGCUGUUCCACCACUCAUAUAGCGGAUGUUUCUGAUGACAGCUAGGACAUUCUCUUUGGUGCUAUAGUCAGUGAAACUGAACUCCGUGCGCUGAUCAUAAGUAAACUGUACAGCAGCUAUCUUGGCACCAAUGUCCGAGAUUUCAAAAGUCUUGGCUAUGUUGGAAACAAAUUCAAGCAUGAGGCGGAAAUUGCUAUCUCCAACACUGCUGGAGCCAUCAAUUAGAAAGGCAAUGUUCACUGAGUUAUAACAGGUCUUGCUGCACAUCAUUUGUUCAUGAGUGCACAGCUUCUGUACCAGAGGCUUUACGUAUUUUGUGGUGCCAAACCAGUUGGGCAUGUGGUAAGAGAAGAAGCCAUUAUUCCGACAGACAGCCUAAUGGGGGAGACACAUAAAAGAUAUCCAAAAGGAUCAAAAGUUGUUUCUUCUUAAAAACUGGAAAAUCCUGAAUGUUUCAAGUUAAUCUAGAUAAGAGGCAGUCAGCACUGCACUUAGAGGUCCAAAAUGGAAUACCCAUCACUGUAACAGAAGAUAACCCUCACCACUUUACCUUGUCAACAAAUGUGACAUCCUGAACCAUCCCCAGUUCUUCAGGGAUAGGCUUGGCCACAGAAACUAUAAAUACAUUGACACCAAACUCUCUGGCCACAAUGCCUGCUUCCUCGAUGUCAUCAGAAGGCCAACCAUCAAUAAAUACCACCACCACUUUGGGGAUCCCUUUUCUUACUCCAGCAUCUACCGUGAAGAAUUUCUGAGCAGUAUCAAAGUCUACUUACCUGUAUUGGAAUUACCCCCUCUGAAACCUACUUCCUUUAUGGCAAACAAAACAUCUUUGGCUGAUGUAAAGUUUUUCAAGUAAAAUUCUAUUUUGGGAUGUUCACUGAGUGGAAGAAAGAAAAUGUUAUUCAGGGAGAAUUAAAAAGGUAAAAUAAGCAACAUUACAUGCCUUAAAAAACAGUUUUAAAACCAGACAACACACAAGUUUCUUUCUUAAUUCCAUAGUACAUAGUCAACUGAGGCAUUGCAUCCUUACUUGAAUUAUUGGAGAUAUUUCAGAGGUGUAACAAAUAAUUGCCAUAUUGAGGAUUUAUUAUAUUCUGGGUAAUAAGCCAAAAGCAUAACACAUGUAAAACCUCAUUUCAUCAUAGCUCUAUAAGGUUGGAAUUAUCCCAAUUAUGUAAAUGAAGAAACUGAGUCUCAGAGCAUUUAGGGAGUUUGCCUGAUGAAACACAGCUGCAUUUUAAGUUCAAGUUGUCUGGCUGCAAAGUCCAUGCCUAAACUAUACGGAGAACUUGAAAUCGGGCUUGGCUCAGAGCCUCGGGUUUAACAGAAGUCCGCAGAGUUGGGCACCAGGUAGCUAAACUAAAUGAGGAAGUGGCUGGGUAUGAGACUAGGGUCUGUUCCAGUGUGGGACCCCAGAGGCUCUAAGUAGUGUGGAUCUAUUAACUCAGAGCUCUCUGUUCAGGAGAAACAAUUUCAUUGAUGUGACCGUCAACAUUUUUUUAAAGGGACAAAGGUGAAAUGAAUUAUAAAGUUACAAUAUUGAGUUUUUCUUAUAAUGACAAUGACAUUUGUGCACCUUAAAAUUAUGUGUAUUGUAAGAGUUUUGAGAUCUCAUUUCCUAUAUUUAAUAUUAAAGGAAUUUCAGCUCACUUUUAUAUAACUACUCUGUGUUCAGCAGAGACCGUUUUGAGUAUAAACAACCACAGCACAAUCUGUUGUGUUUAGUUUCUAGAUGAGUCAGUAUUUCCUAGUGCAAAAUUUAAGAUCUUAGCAUUAUCAGUAGCCAUUUUAUUCAAGAUUUUUUGAGGGAGAAGUAGAACACUGACUGUAUUUCUGCAUACAUACCUGAUGGAAUAUUGGGUCAUAAAAUCAGAUUUCAUGGGUUGAAAACCUUUUCACUUGUGGUCACUUUUCAACUAUCCAGAUUAUGACUUAUGAAAUUAGUCUCAUUUUUGUAUCCUUGAUAUAUUCUGUUCUUUGACUUACAUACAUAUAAACUUGACAUGGUUUACCUAUUCUAAUGGUCUUUCUAAAACAGAAAAACUACAAAACUUUGUAUGAGUCUACAAGGUAAUGAAGAAUUCAUCUUCAAAAAGAAUUGGGUCAAAGUAGUCAGAAAAAAGUACAAGACAAAAAGUACUGCAGGGGAAUUUGCCUCAUGGGAUGUUAAAAUGUGCAAUAAAACUGUGAUAAUCAAAGCAGCGUAGAAAAAAAUAUGUAAGGAUUAGCAUAUGAAUCAAAGAAAUAGACUUGCUCAAACUCAGGUAUAAAUGUGAUACCAUAAGUCAAUGAAACAAGGAACACAUUUUUUUUAAGGGUGAGAGACAAAUGGUUAAAUUAUGUUAAAACAGUUAAAUUUUCUUCUCAUGCCAAAAAAAUUCUAUCUAAUCUAAGAGCAGAGCCACUUGUAAAAAAUAACAGAAAUGAAAUGGAAAUUAAUAUUUGUAAUAGCACUGUUUAUACAACCUUACACACUGCUGAUAGUAGUUUAAACUACUUCACCUUUCUAGGAAGCAAUUUCGCUAUUUAUUUGUUUUUUUAGAGAUGGGGUCUUUCUCUGUUGUCCAGGCUGGAGUAGAGUGGUGCCAUCAUAGCUCACUGCAGCUUUGAACUCCUGGGCUUGAGAGAUCCUCACACCUCAGCCUCCUGAGCAGCUGGCACUACAGGCAUGAGCCACUGUGCAUGGCUCAAUUUCACUAUUUAUAUCAGAGGCUUUAAGUCAGAACCUCACUUUUAGAAAUCUAACCUGAUGAAAUAAUCAGAGAUGGGCACAAAGAUGAUAUAAGGAUGUUCAUCACAGUGUAGUGUGUAAUGUAGUGAAGAAAUAAUAAGAAUGACUAAUCAUGCAGCGGAAUAUUAUGAAAUAUUUUUGAUGAAUAUUUGUGAUAUGAGAAAAUGCUAAAAAUACUAAAGGAUGAAAAAAACAGGAUGCAGGGCAUUUUUAAUAGUCUGAGUUUUUAAAAAAUAAUACAGUCAAAUAUUUCCUUAAAAUACUGAAGGGGCCAGGCGUGGUAGCUCACACCUGUAAUCCUAGCACUUUGGGAGUCCGAGGCAGGUGGAUCACCUGAGGUCAGGAGCUCGAGACCAGGCUGGCCAACAUGGUGAAACCUUGUCUCUACUAAAAAUACAAAAAUUAGCCAGGCGUAGUAGUGCACACCUGUGAUCCCAGCUACUCAGGAGGCUGAGGCAGGAGAAUCACUUAAAUCCAGGAGGCAGAGGUUGUAGUGAACAAAGAUCGUGCCAUUGCAUUCCAGCCUCGGUGACAGAGCAAAACUCCGUCUCAAAAAAAAAAAAAAAAAAAAAAAAAAACCAUUUUAUAGUGAUUAUCUCUAGGGCAUAUGAUUUAGAGCAUUUCUUUUUUUGUGCUCUAUGUAUUUUCAAGCUUUCUAUAAUGAGCAUAUUCUAUUUCUAAAAGCAAUUAAUAAAUAAAUAUUUAUUUAUUUAUUUAUUUUUAUUUUUAUUUUUUGAAACAGAGUCUUGCUCUGUUGCCCAGGCUGGAGUGCAGUGGCACGAUCUUGGCUCACUGCAAGCUCCACCUCCUGGGUUCACGCCAUUCUCCUGCCUCAGCCUCCCGAGUAGCUGGGACUACAGGCGCCUGCCACCACGCCCGGCUAAUUUUUUUUUUUUGUAUUUUUAGUAGAGACGGGGUUUCCCCGUGUUAGCCAGGAUGGUCUCAAUCUCCUGACCCCGUGAUCCAUCCGCCUCGGCCUCCCAAAGUGCUGGGAUUACAGGCGUGAGCCACCGCACCUGGCCAGCAAUUAAUAAAUAUUUUUAAAUGAAUAAAAUAGAAAGGUCGUGCUUCAGAUCACCAACCAAGAGAAUAUGGAAAGAGCUAAAAAGAAUAACAGAAUAGGGAGGUGGAAUAGACAUAUCACUGCUUCUUCCUUCAGAAGAGAGAAAUUAGGAAUUGAGCAGAGUAGAUAAGCAGAGGUGACUUGUGUAAGCAACAGGACUCUCCAGUCUACCUUCUGGUUCUUAUAUAGAUAGCACACAGUUUUCUAAAUUCUUUUAUUCCAAAAAGGAGGCACUCAGAUCUACUCAGUCUGCCCAGGCAGUCUUAGAUCCUGAACUUACAGUUUGGGAACCCAGUGUGUCCAUAACUCAAAUGUUUAUACUGAACUGACAUGUACCCACUAAAAGAACUGAUCAUUUGUCAUCAUUCAAGACUCAUUCAAAUCUCCUCUCAUUUGAUUUUUUUCUUUUUUUUUUUUUUUUUUGAGACAUAGUCUCACUGUUGCCCAGGCUGGAGUGCAGUGGUGCAAUCUCGGCUCAUUGUAACCUCUGCCUCCCGAGUCCAAGUGAUUCUCCUGCCUCAGCCUCCCAAGUAGCUAGGAUUACAGGUGCAUGCCACCACAUCUGGCUAAUUUUUGUAUUUUUAGUAGAGACGGUGUUUCACAUGUUGGCCAGACUGGUCUCGAACUCCUGACCUCAAGUGGUCCAUCCGCCUCAGCCUCCCAAAGUGGUGGGAUUACAGGUGUGAGCCACCACUCCCAGCUGCUGCUAGCCUUUUAAAAACUUGCUUACACAAGAACAAAAUUUGCCUGGAAAAAAAUGGUUUUGUGCUGUUGAACUUCUUAAGUGUUGAUAAGAACACAUUUGUAAUAUCCCAUUACCCACAACUUAGAAAUUCAGAGCACCAAACAAUUUUCCUAAGAUACUCACUUUAGCUACAUGCCUUUGGACUGAAUUUUUUUAGAAGUAUUAUACUGGCUAUUCUACUACAGGAUAGCAUGGCACUUGCUAACAAUAGUCACCUUGGGCAAGAUACUUGACAACUCUCUGAGUUCAGUUUCUUCAUCUGUAACUGGAGUAAAAUUCUACCUACCUUGUAGAGUUGUGGUGGAAGUUAAAACAAUAGGUGGCACAUAGUAAUAACUCAGUAAUAUAUCACAUGAUUAGGAAUGUUUUGGAAUCAUAGCAAUCUAGCCAUCAAGAGGUAAUGCUAUUUGCCUUUUGUCAGAAAGCUUUCCAUGUGUAUUUGGUGUUUCAAGUAUAUCCAGGAGAACCGUGAAAAUAUAUCCAUUUUCUGUGGCCACAAUGGCAACAAAAGAAAGAAUGCAGGGAGGAAAGGGAUCCAGAUGGGUAAAGCAGGAAAGGAAAUAAUCACGUCUGCAUUUCUCUCCCACCCUGGUGUGUUUGGGCUUA